UUAUUGGAGAGUUUGAUCCUGGCUCAGGACGAACGCUGGCGGCGUGCCUAAUACAUGCAAGUCGAGCGGAGCUGAUGAGGUGCUUGCACCUCAGAUGCUUAGCGGCGGACGGGUGAGUAACACGUAGGCAACCUGCCCUCAAGACUGGGAUAACUACCGGAAACGGUAGCUAAUACCGGA
RNAcentral lists this non-coding RNA (180 nucleotides) under Paenibacillus sp. DMB20. RNAcentral describes it as "partial 16S ribosomal RNA". It matches the Rfam family "Bacterial small subunit ribosomal RNA", at positions 1 to 173 of the family's 1533-position model. Lineage: Bacteria; Bacillati; Bacillota; Bacilli; Caryophanales; Paenibacillaceae. The record is from RNAcentral.